This 446-nucleotide ribosomal RNA is filed under the name uncultured bacterium. RNAcentral's name for it is "bacterial SSU rRNA". It matches the Rfam family "Bacterial small subunit ribosomal RNA", at positions 329 to 792 of the family's 1533-position model. The record is from RNAcentral.
UGCCAGACUCCUACGGGAGGCAGCAGUGGGGAAUAUUGCACAAUGGGGGAAACCCUGACGCAGCAACGCCGCGUGAGUGAAGAAGUCAUUCGUGAUGUAAAGCUCUAUCAGCAGGGAAGAAAAUGACGGUACCUGAGUAAGAAGCCCCGGCUAACUACGUGCCAGCAGCCGCGGUAAUACGUAGGGGGCAAGCGUUAUCCGGAUUUACUGGGUGUAAAGGGGGCGCAGACGGCGAUGCAAGCCAGGAGUGAAAGCCCGGGGCCCAACCCCGGGACUGCUCUUGGAACUGCGUGGCUGGAGUGCAGGAGGGGCAGGCGGAAUUCCUGGUGUAGCGGUGAAAUGCGUAGAUAUCAGGAGGAACACCGGUGGCGAAGGCGGCCUGCUGGACUGCAACUGACGUUGAGGCCCGAAAGCGUGGGGAGCGAACAGGAUUAGAUACCCGUGUA